UAAAGAUUAAAAACAUGAUAAAAAAUUAAAAUAAAAUAAAAUAAAAUAAUUCAGUUUUGAUGUGUUGUCUCAUAUCCAACGCUCGUUUAACGUCAUUAACUUGACGCCUCACCUUUCAAGUUAAAUAGUAUAAUUCAUGUUAGACCUGACAUCAACUUUCUUCUUUGUGACCAUCAAAAUUAUUUGUUCCGCUUUUUUAUUCAAUGCAAUUGGGUAAGAAAGCUUGAACAAGUAUGAUGGAACUCAGUUUGGUUCCAUUAUUUUCUAUU
RNAcentral lists this long non-coding RNA (269 nucleotides) under Lathyrus oleraceus (garden pea). RNAcentral describes it as "Pisum sativum (pea) long non-coding RNA (PSAT_LNC013640)". Lineage: Eukaryota; Viridiplantae; Streptophyta; Magnoliopsida; Fabales; Fabaceae. The record is from RNAcentral.